GAUGAACGCUGGCGGCGUGCUUAACACAUGCAAGUCGAACGGUGAAAGAGAGCUUGCUCUCUGGAUCAGUGGCGAACGGGUGAGUAACACGUGAGCAAUCUGCCCCUGACUCUGGGAUAAGCGCUGGAAACGGCGUCUAAUACCGGAUACGAGCUGCGAAGGCAUCUUCAGCAGCUGGAAAGAACUUCGGUCAGGGAUGAGCUCGCGGCCUAUCAGCUAGUUGGUGAGGUAACGGCUCACCAAGGCGUCGACGGGUAGCCGGCCUGAGAGGGUGACCGGCCACACUGGGACUGAGACAAGGCCCAGACUCCUACGGGAGGCAGCAGUGGGGAAUAUUGCACAAUGGGCGAAAGCCUGAUGCAGCAACGCCGCGUGAGGGACGACGGCCUUCGGGUUGUAAACCUCUUUUAGCAGGGAAGAAGCGAAAGUGACGGUACCUGCAGAAAAAGCACCGGCUAACUACGUG
This 466-nucleotide ribosomal RNA is filed under the name uncultured bacterium. RNAcentral's name for it is "partial 16S ribosomal RNA". It matches the Rfam family "Bacterial small subunit ribosomal RNA", at positions 28 to 507 of the family's 1533-position model. The record is from RNAcentral.